This 403-nucleotide ribosomal RNA is filed under the name uncultured bacterium. RNAcentral describes it as "bacterial SSU rRNA". It matches the Rfam family "Bacterial small subunit ribosomal RNA", at positions 29 to 419 of the family's 1533-position model. The record is from RNAcentral.
ACGAACGCUGGCGGCGUGCCUAAUACAUGCAAGUCGAGCGAAGUUUUUCUGGUGCUUGCACCGGAAAAACUUAGCGGCGAACGGGUGAGUAACACGUAAAGAACCUGCCUCAUAGACUGGGACAACUAUUGGAAACGAUAGCUAAUACCGGAUAACAGCAUUAACUGCAUGGUUGAUGUUUAAAAGUUGGUUAUGCUAACACUAUGAGAUGGCUUUGCGGUGCAUUAGCUAGUUGGUGGGGUAAAGGCCUACCAAGGCGACGAUGCAUAGCCGACCUGAGAGGGUGAUCGGCCACACUGGGACUGAGACACGGCCCAGACUCCUACGGGAGGCAGCAGUAGGGAAUCUUCCGCAAUGGGCGAAAGCCUGACGGAGCAACGCCGCGUGAGUGAAGAAGGAUUUC